RNAcentral lists this ribosomal RNA (474 nucleotides) under uncultured Pseudomonas sp. RNAcentral describes it as "bacterial SSU rRNA". It matches the Rfam family "Bacterial small subunit ribosomal RNA", at positions 56 to 524 of the family's 1533-position model. Lineage: Bacteria; Pseudomonadati; Pseudomonadota; Gammaproteobacteria; Pseudomonadales; Pseudomonadaceae. The record is from RNAcentral.
UGCAGUCGAGCGGUAGAGAAGAAGCUUGCUUCUUCUUGAGAGCGGCGGACGGGUGAGUAAUGCCUAGGAAUCUGCCUGGUAGUGGGGGACAACGUUUCGAAAGGAACGCUAAUACCGCAUACGUCCUACGGGAGAAAGUGGGGGAUCUUCGGACCUCACGCUAUCAGAUGAGCCUAGGUCGGAUUAGCUUGUAGGUGAGGUAAUGGCUCACCUAGGCAACGAUCCGUAACUGGUCUGAGAGGAUGAUCAGUCACACUGGAACUGAGACACGGUCCAGACUCCUACGGGAGGCAGCAGUGGGGAAUAUUGGACAAUGGGCGAAAGCCUGAUCCAGCCAUGCCGCGUGUGUGAAGAAGGUCUUCGGAUUGUAAAGCACUUUAAGUUGGGAGGAAGGGUUGUAGCUUAAUACGCUGCAACUUUGACGUUACCAACAGAAUAAGCACCGGCUAACUCUGUGCCAGCAGCCGCGGUAAU